GGGCAACACAGGGUGAAGUGAGAAGUUCGGUUUCAACCUUGCUUCAGUGUUCUUUGGUGGUUCUUGCUAGAUUUGAAGUUGGCUCAUCCUUUAUGCUUAACCUACUAGCACUGAAUCUUUGUUGUUUUGGUUGAUCUUGUUGUAUUAUCUUGUCUCCCAUGUGUGGGCUUUAAACUCCAGGAACUUUCAUGUUGUUAGCCGGUUUAAGUUUGCGGGGUUUGUUUACCGCCGUUGUUGUAAUCUUGUUUCAGUUCAUAAUCAAAAUCCUUCUGAGGAAAAAAAGCAUAGUUGUUAGAAAAUCAGUUUACUACUCUUACAUUAGAAUAAACAUCCACUACUUUUUGGAAUGUAA
Molecule: long non-coding RNA, 352 nt
Filed under: Brassica napus (rape)
Lineage: Eukaryota; Viridiplantae; Streptophyta; Magnoliopsida; Brassicales; Brassicaceae
Description: long non-coding RNA (BNAP_LNC014520)
Source: RNAcentral